Molecule: ribosomal RNA, 346 nt
Filed under: uncultured bacterium
Lineage: Bacteria
Description: bacterial SSU rRNA
Rfam family: Bacterial small subunit ribosomal RNA
Source: RNAcentral
GGGCCCGCACAAGCGGUGGAGCAUGUGGUUUAAUUCGAUGAUACGCGAGGAACCUUACCAGGGCUUAAAUGUAGUGGGACAGGUCUAGAGAUAGACCCUUCUUCGGACUCAUUACAAGGUGCUGCAUGGUUGUCGUCAGCUCGUGCCGUGAGGUGUCAGGUUAAGUCCUAUAACGAGCGCAACCCCUAUCGUUAGUUGCCAGCGAGUAAUGUCGGGAACUCUAACGAAACUGCCAGUGCAAACCGUGAGGAAGGUGGGGGAUGACGUCAAAUCAUCACGGCCCUUACGUCCUGGGCCACACACGUGCUACAAUGGCCGGUACAGAGAGCAGCCACUACGCGAGUAG